RNAcentral lists this ribosomal RNA (555 nucleotides) under Thermothelomyces thermophilus. Its description in RNAcentral is "eukaryotic LSU rRNA". The stretch from base 202 to 355 matches the Rfam family "5.8S ribosomal RNA". The record is from RNAcentral. Lineage: Eukaryota; Fungi; Ascomycota; Sordariomycetes; Sordariales; Chaetomiaceae.
UCUCCGUUGGUGAACCAGCGGAGGGAUCAUUACAGAGUUGCAAAACUCCCUAAACCAUCGUGAACGCUACCUAAACCGUUGCUUCGGCGGGCGGCGCCCUCGCGCGCCCCCCUGGGGCCCGCACCGCGGGCGCCCGCCGGAGGUACACCAAACUCUUGAUAUGUUAUGGCCACUCUGAGUCUCCUGUACUGAAUAAGUCAAAACUUUCAACAACGGAUCUCUUGGUUCUGGCAUCGAUGAAGAACGCAGCGAAAUGCGAUAAGUAAUGUGAAUUGCAGAAUUCAGUGAAUCAUCGAAUCUUUGAACGCACAUUGCGCCCGCCAGCAUCCUGGCGGGCAUGCCUGUUCGAGCGUCAUUUCAACCCAUCAAGCCCACGGCUUGUGUUGGGGACCUGCGGCUGCCCGCAGGCCCUGAAAACCAGUGGCGGGCUCGCUAGUCACACCGGGCGUAGUAGCAUACGACCUCGCUCAGGGCGUGCUGCGGGUUCCAGCCGUAAAACGACCUUCAGAACCCAAGGUUGACCUCGGAUCAGGUAGGAGGACCCGCUGAACUUAA